This 237-nucleotide small nuclear RNA is filed under the name Neotoma lepida (desert woodrat). RNAcentral's name for it is "7SK RNA". It matches the Rfam family "7SK RNA". Rfam says of the family: 7SK was discovered as an abundant small nuclear RNA in the mid-70s but a possible function has only recently been suggested. Two independent studies have found that 7SK RNA binds the CDK9/cyclin T complex (known as elongation factor P-TEFb). P-TEFb activates transcription by phosphorylating the C-terminal domain of RNA polymerase II. The record is from Rfam by way of RNAcentral. Lineage: Eukaryota; Metazoa; Chordata; Mammalia; Rodentia; Cricetidae.
UGAUGUGAAGGCGAUCUGACUGUGACAUCUGUCACCCCAUUGAUUGGGCUGAUCUGGCUGGCUAGGUGGGUGGCCUCUUCCUCCCUCACUNCUCCAUUUGCACCCCUCCCCAAACUGUUGGUUGAAGAGGAGGACCUUNCCCUGCUAGAACCUCCAAACAAGCUCUCAAGGUCCAUUGAAAUGCAAAAUUAUUUCAAGAGUUCUUGCCUACUGACCCCACCUGACCUGAGGACCAGU